GAUGAACGCUGGCGGCGUGCUUAACACAUGCAAGUCGAGCGGUAAGGCUCCUUCGGGAGUACACGAGCGGCGGACGGGUGAGUAACGCGUAAGAAUCUACCCCGAACUGAGGGAUAAGCCCUGGAAACAGGGUCUAAUACCGCAUAGUCUCUAAGGAGUAAAGCUACGGCGGUUUGGGAAGAGCUUGCGUAUGAUUAGCUAGUUGGUAGGGUAAUGGCCUACCAAGGCGACGAUCAUUAGCUGGUCUGAGAGGAUGACCAGCCACACUGGGACUGAGACACGGCCCAGACUCCUACGGGUGGCUG
This 305-nucleotide ribosomal RNA is filed under the name uncultured Candidatus Saccharibacteria bacterium. RNAcentral's name for it is "bacterial SSU rRNA". It matches the Rfam family "Bacterial small subunit ribosomal RNA", at positions 28 to 351 of the family's 1533-position model. The record is from RNAcentral. Lineage: Bacteria; Candidatus Saccharimonadota.